GUAGUCAUAUGCUUGUCUCAAAGAUUAAGCCAUGCAUGUCUAAGUAUAAGCAAUCUAUACAGUGAAACUGCGAAUGGCUCAUUAAAUCAGUUAUCGUUUAUUUGAUAGCACCUUUACUACUUGGAUAACCGUGGUAAUUCUAGAGCUAAUACUGCUAACAACCCCGACUGUUUGGAAGGGGUGUAUUUAUUAGAUAAAAAAUCAAUGCUCUUCUGAGCUCCUUGAUGAUUCAUAAUAACUUUUCGAAUCGCAUGGCCUUGUGCUGGCGAUGGUUCAUUCAAAUUUCUGCCCUAUCAACUUUCGAUGGUAGGAUAGUGGCCUACCAUGGUAGCAACGGGUAACGGGGAAU
Molecule: ribosomal RNA, 349 nt
Filed under: uncultured fungus
Lineage: Eukaryota; Fungi
Description: SSU rRNA
Rfam family: Eukaryotic small subunit ribosomal RNA
Source: RNAcentral